GACAGAGGGUGCAAACGUUGCUCGGAAUUAGCUGGGCGUAAAGGGCGCGUAGGCGGCCGUUUGCGUCGGAUGUGAAAGGCCCGGGGCUCAACCUCGGAACGGCAUUCGAUACGGGACGGCUGGAGACCGGGAGAGGAGAGUGGAAUAGCCAGUGUAGAGGUGAAAUUCGUAGAUAUUGGCUGGAACACCGGUGGCGAAAGCGGCUCUCUGGCCCGGUUCUGACGCUGAGGCGCGAAAGCGUGGGGAGCAAACAGG
This 255-nucleotide ribosomal RNA is filed under the name uncultured bacterium. RNAcentral's name for it is "partial 16S ribosomal RNA". It matches the Rfam family "Bacterial small subunit ribosomal RNA", at positions 524 to 776 of the family's 1533-position model. The record is from RNAcentral.